Molecule: ribosomal RNA, 171 nt
Filed under: uncultured Rhodobacterales bacterium
Lineage: Bacteria; Pseudomonadati; Pseudomonadota; Alphaproteobacteria; Rhodobacterales
Description: partial 16S ribosomal RNA
Rfam family: Bacterial small subunit ribosomal RNA
Source: RNAcentral
ACACCUACGGGGGGCAGCAGUGGGGAAUCUUUGACAAUGGGCGCAAGCCUGAUCUAGCCAUGCCGCGUGAGUGAUGAAGGCCCUAGGGUCGUAAAGCUCUUUCGCCAGGGAUGAUAAUGACUGUACCUGGUUAAGAAUCCCCGGCUAACUCCGUGCCAGCAGCCGCGGUAA